GAUGAACGCUGGCGGCGUGCUUAACACAUGCAAGUCGAACGGAAAGGCCCAAGCUUGCUUGGGUACUCGAGUGGCGAACGGGUGAGUAACACGUGGGUGAUCUGCCCUGCACUUCGGGAUAAGCCUGGGAAACUGGGUCUAAUACCGGAUAGGACCACUUCUUGGAUGUUGUGGUGGAAAGUUUUUUCGGUGUGGGAUGAGCUCGCGGCCUAUCAGCUUGUUGGUGGGGUAAUGGCCUACCAAGGCGUCGACGGGUAGCCGGCCUGAGAGGGUGUACGGCCACAUUGGGACUGAGAUACGGCCCAGACUCCUACGGGAGGCAGCAGUGGGGAAUAUUGCACAAUGGGCGCAAGCCUGAUGCAGCGACGGCGCGUGGGGGAUGACGGCCUUCGGGUUGUAAACUCCUUUCGCUAGGGACGAAGCGUUUUGUGACGGUACCUGGAGAAGAAGCACCGGCUAACUACGUG
RNAcentral lists this ribosomal RNA (467 nucleotides) under uncultured bacterium. RNAcentral's name for it is "partial 16S ribosomal RNA". It matches the Rfam family "Bacterial small subunit ribosomal RNA", at positions 28 to 507 of the family's 1533-position model. The record is from RNAcentral.